CCCUAGUCCCGAUGGGAACGGCAUCCUUUUUUGUCUUAUGCAAAAACUUGUUUUUAGUGACAAAACGUCUAAGACAAAAAAGAUAUAGCACUUCGACUUCGC
This 102-nucleotide small RNA is filed under the name Epilithonimonas xixisoli. Its description in RNAcentral is "Chryseobacterium xixisoli Flavo-1 RNA". The record is from RNAcentral. Lineage: Bacteria; Pseudomonadati; Bacteroidota; Flavobacteriia; Flavobacteriales; Weeksellaceae.